Molecule: ribosomal RNA, 447 nt
Filed under: uncultured bacterium
Lineage: Bacteria
Description: bacterial SSU rRNA
Rfam family: Bacterial small subunit ribosomal RNA
Source: RNAcentral
CCUACGGGAGGCAGCAGUCGAGAAUAUUCCACAAUGGGCGAAAGCCUGAUGGAGCGACGCCGCGUGCAGGAAGAAGGUCUUCGGAUUGUAAACUGCGGUAGUUCGUGAAUAAGUCGCAAGACUGAACUUAGCGAACGGAAAGAGGUGGGUAACUACGUGCCAGCACCAGCGGUAAUACGUAGACCUCGAGCGUUAUCCGGAUUUAUUGGGCGUAAAGCGCGUGUAGGGGGUUCUGUGCGUCUUGCGUUAAAGCCCACCGCCCAACGGUGGAACCGCGUAAGAUACGGCAGAACUGGAGGAGGUCAGAGGCAAGCGGAACGCACGGUGUAGGGGUGAAAUCCGUUGAUAUCGUGCGGAACACCAGAGGCGAAGGCGGCUUGCUAGGGCCUUCCUGACCCUGAGACGCGAAAGCGUGGGGAGCAAAAAGGAUUAGAUACCCUUGUAGUC